Molecule: non-coding RNA, 1619 nt
Organism: Taeniopygia guttata (zebra finch)
Lineage: Eukaryota; Metazoa; Chordata; Aves; Passeriformes; Estrildidae
Source: RefSeq, a predicted model, not a curated record
CGCUGCCGUGCCUCAGGCGGAGCCCGGCGGGGCCGGGGCCGGAGCGGGCUCGGCCAGAGCGGCUCUGGGAGCGGCACUAAUGAAACAAAGGCCCGUGUGCUGUGCCUGCCGCGCCGCCGGAGGCAGCGGGAGAGCGCUGGCUGUGGUAAAAUGGGGGGGUUACCCCGGAACGCACCGACGAUGAGUUGCGUGAGGCAGAAAUCACUCAGUGAUCAUCUGACUGGAGGUGAAAGAAAUGUACGCGUUUUCAGUAAUAAUUUUUUGUUUAAGAAGAAAAACAGCAGUAAAGAAGAUCAAGGGAAUAAAAAGGAAGUGAAAUGAGGAGACCGUGGCUCGAGCAGCGACUACAGAAGAGCCCUGCAGGAUUGAUGGGAUGAAACAGUGCCUGCUGACCCAUGGAAGACCAGCUAAAAUGCCUGAACUCUGCUUCCCAGUUUUGCAUGAGCAAGAAGGAAAAUGUAGGUAGGCAUAGAAAACCCCAAAAGCAGACAUGAAGUGAGGAAAGUGUUAACUACAAAAAGUUCUUUCUUCAGUGAGUGCGUGUUGGUUUCGAACAGCAGGCUGGACUCAGUACAUUCAAAAACUUACACACUAUAAUUCUUGGUGCCUGCAGGCAGCAGCCACACCAAGCUUCAGUCUAACCCUAAUGACUUGGAAAAGUCUUUGCAUACUUUACAAGGAGCUGGACCAUAUUUCAAAACAGACUUUUGUAACAGAAAUUAAGGUUUCAGUGGUGGGGCAGCAUGGGUAGAGUAUAUCAGUGUUCUUGAACCAAUGGCUCACUCAAACUGAACUUCCUUUAUCCCACUUCCACUUUUCCAGAGGCUGGCUUUGACUCUUUAGAGUGAUGACACAUGAAUUGUAGAUUAAAAGAAGACUAAGUCAUGCCAAACAAGUUUGUAUAGGAAGAUCAUCUUUAACAACAAAUUAGAAAGUUGAUGUAUUAAAGCCUGUUAAAUUUUUUAAUGCAAUGAGCUGACCUGCUCUUUACCUGUUCCAAAUGGCAAAAAAUGUGAAAUUUGAAGAAUUGUUGCCUUUCAUUGGAAUGGCAGCUAAUGUGAUGCUGACUUUGUGACAUGCUUUAGCAUGUUGAAGCUUCUCAAAAAAUAAUGUUAAUAGAAAAAUUUAAUUAACUUAACUCAGUGCUGAAAAAAAAACCCCUAAAAUCUGCCCUUGGAACAGAUUCCUUUAUUAAAAAUAAGACAGAGCCCCACACAGUCAUAGUAUAAUCCAUUUAUUAGCAUAACUUGUGAGCCAUUGGUGGUGAUCCAGGAGACAUGACAGCUUUGGCACUUGACUGAUUUCAGAGGUACUCAGCCCUUAGUAGAAAGGGGUUUUAAUAGGACUUGAGUGGGCUACUACACAAAGAAGUUUCUGAUGUGGAAAAUUAAAUAUUUUUCCAAACAGCCCAGGAGAUGUGCAUUAGUACAGGUCACAGUGCCUUGUUCUACAAGGAGUAGUCUCAACUUGGUUACCACCAGAGGUGAUUCUGUUCUCUCUAACUGUAAGAAACUCCCAGAGAGUCUAUCAAGAUAGUGUUAAAUACCACAGUGUAGUUUCAUCUCUCUGAAGUUUUCAUCUUAUUGUCGAAUAUAUGCAUUAAAAUCCUUCUUCAAGUA